RNAcentral lists this ribosomal RNA (616 nucleotides) under Parasphingorhabdus sp. Its description in RNAcentral is "bacterial SSU rRNA". It matches the Rfam family "Bacterial small subunit ribosomal RNA", at positions 100 to 751 of the family's 1533-position model. The record is from RNAcentral. Lineage: Bacteria; Pseudomonadati; Pseudomonadota; Alphaproteobacteria; Sphingomonadales; Sphingorhabdaceae.
GCACGGGUGCGUAACGCGUGGGGAUCUACCAUAGGGUACGGAAUAACUCAGAGAAAUUUGUGCUAAUACCGUAUAAUGUCUUCGGACCAAAGAUUUAUCGCCCUUUGAUGAACCCGCGUAAGAUUAGCUUGUUGGUGAGGUAAAAGCUCACCAAGGCGACGAUCUUUAGCUGGUCUGAGAGGAUGAUCAGCCACACUGGGACUGAGACACGGCCCAGACUCCUACGGGAGGCAGCAGUGGGGAAUAUUGGACAAUGGGCGAAAGCCUGAUCCAGCAAUGCCGCGUGAGUGAUGAAGGCCUUAGGGUUGUAAAGCUCUUUUACUAGGGAUGAUAAUGACAGUACCUAGAGAAUAAGCUCCGGCUAACUCCGUGCCAGCAGCCGCGGUAAUACGGAGGGAGCUAGCGUUGUUCGGAAUUACUGGGCGUAAAGCGCGCGUAGGCGGUCUAUUAAGUCAGGGGUGAAAUCCCGGAGCUCAACUCCGGAACUGCCCUUGAAACUGGCAGACUAGAAUCUUGGAGAGGCGAGUGGAAUUCCGAGUGUAGAGGUGAAAUUCGUAGAUAUUCGGAAGAACACCAGUGGCGAAGGCGACUCGCUGGACAAGUAUUGACGCUGAGG